Cucumis melo (muskmelon) is the source of this 654-nucleotide long non-coding RNA. RefSeq lists it as uncharacterized. The transcript is spliced from 2 exons. Lineage: Eukaryota; Viridiplantae; Streptophyta; Magnoliopsida; Cucurbitales; Cucurbitaceae. The record is from RefSeq and is a predicted model, not a curated record.
GGUGGUGAUAGCAUAACCCUAUCAUGACAUGUGUACCAUUGAUUAUUCGAUUAAGAGGGUUAAGCUUGGGUCAUUGUGCAAAAAUGAAAUAACUUUUAUUAUCUAUCCGUUUAAUUUUUAUAAUUCUUAUGUUUUUGUAUUUAAUUGUCGUUUUUUAUUAUUUAGAUAUGUUUCUUUGAAUAACCUUAGAGAGCAACCCAGACAUUUCAAUUAGCAGCACGUUGCCACACCCCGCCCUAAAUGUCGUGUCCCGCGACUAAAUAGAGGUUGUACUACCUAGGCAUUCACCGCAUAUUUCUCCCGAGUGGAACACUAUAAGAACCGGGGGACUCCCGACGUACAACGACAUUGGAAGAAGCUAAAAAAUAUUGGAAUAUCUUUUCUCGACGUCGUUUACUGUGUUGAAACGCACAUCGAAAGAAAUGCGUUGGGAGAAGAAUUUCCGACACAUGACCAACAAGGCAUCGGAAAUGUAACGCCCCAACAGAUUGGUUUUUUUCAUUUUAUCGUCUUAAGAGUAAUUAUGGAAAUUUCGAAUUUAUUUGAGGAAUUUGAUUAUUUUGACCUUGUAAUUAAUUAAGGUUUAGAGUUAUUUAUUUUGAUUGGAUAUUAAUUUUUUUUAUUUGGAAAUAAAUUGGUGAAGUUAUGUGUUAA